RNAcentral lists this ribosomal RNA (446 nucleotides) under uncultured bacterium. RNAcentral's name for it is "bacterial SSU rRNA". It matches the Rfam family "Bacterial small subunit ribosomal RNA", at positions 354 to 796 of the family's 1533-position model. The record is from RNAcentral.
GUAAGGAAUAUUGGACAAUGGACGCAAGUCUGAUCCAGCCAUGCCGCGUGAAGGAUUAAGGUCCUCUGGAUUGUAAACUUCUUUUAUAAGGGACGAAAAAAGGCUUUUCUAAGUCGUCUGACGGUACCUUAUGAAUAAGCACCGGCUAACUCCGUGCCAGCAGCCGCGGUAAUACGGAGGGUGCAAGCGUUAUCCGGAUUCACUGGGUUUAAAGGUUGCGUAGGCGGGCAGGUAAGUCAGUGGUGAAAUCCUAGAGCUUAACUCUAGAACUGCCAUUGAUACUAUCUGUCUUGAAUAUUGUGGAGGUAAGCGGAAUAUGUCAUGUAGCGGUGAAAUGCUUAGAUAUGACAUAGAACACCUAUUGCGAAGGCAGCUUACUACGCAUAUAUUGACGCUGAGGCACGAAAGCGUGGGGAUCAAACAGGAUUAGAAACCCCCUGUAGUCC